Molecule: long non-coding RNA, 2471 nt
Filed under: Cicer arietinum (chickpea)
Lineage: Eukaryota; Viridiplantae; Streptophyta; Magnoliopsida; Fabales; Fabaceae
Description: long non-coding RNA (CARI_LNC000423)
Source: RNAcentral
UAAAAAUAAAUUUUCUUCAUUGAUAAAAAGAAAAAGAAAAUAACUCAUGUCAAACAUAAAAUUUGUAAUCAAUCUCAACCAUUCAAUUUUGAAUUAAUAGUUGAAAUUAUUUUAAUUAAAAGACAAUUUUUAAUCUACCGUUCGAUCUCAUAUCAACGACCGAGAUUAAAAACCGCGUACAAUGUAUGAAUUUGUUAUAGCAUGGAAUCGGAAAAAUAGUACCUGAAUUGAAAAGCAUGAAUAUUAUUUGGGUUCCAAAUCGGUGAUAUUAAUGAUGAUUCGAACGUAUGUUGACAUAUUUUUGGUGAUAAAACAUGGUACAUGGUAGGGGGGUUAUAUUAAAUUGGAGAUACUAGAAUUCAGAAGCAUAUAUCCAAUUAGGCUGUAAAGUUAGUGGGCCAUGGCCCAAAAUACAGAAUGAAGUGACCCCACUUAAUUGAUCCCUGACGAUCCCACAUCUUGCAUGGGCCCCCAUUGAAUUAUAAUGCACUGGUUGGUGACGAUAAAUGUUGCAAAACAUAGUGUAAACCAUGACAUCAAACACAGAGAAAAGAAUAAUUAAAUACACCCCACCCUUGUGCAAAGCUGCUCUCUGCUUGAUUACAAAACAAAAAGAGAAAGAUAAAUUAUAAGCUAGUAUUCAAUUAUUGAAAUUUUUAACGCAACUUGCCUAAUUGCUUUAUAUUUCCACAAUUCAUGUUGGUAUAUAUAUAUGGUUGGAUUUUUUCUUCAAGUUUGAAAUUUCUUACAAAUAUUUUAAUUCAUAAUUACACUUCAUUAAUGUUAGAAUAACUUAUGUUGUGGGAGGAAGAGUGUAUUAAGCAAUACAAUAUGUACACUUUAGAAACUCUUGUAAUAUAUUCUCUUGAGUUUGUACACCACUCCAACAAUAAAUGAUGAUCUAUGAAGAAUUGAGUAAAUAACUAUUACCAUGAUGUCGGUGGUGUUCAUAUUUAAAUUAAUUUAAAAAAAUACUACAAAUCAAUCUAAAAUAAUAAAAAAAUCAUACAAAAUUGAAUAAUAUUAUUGAAUGUGUUUGUAUUUUUUAUUUUUAUUUUUGAAAAUUGUUCUGAUUGUAUUAGAUUUCAGAUUCAUUUUUAAAAAUCGAACUCAACUGCGUAUAUAAAUUUUAAUAUUUUUUUUUUUAAUAUAAGAUAUUAUAUUAAAUUAUUAUUUAUUAGUUUAAUAAUUUUUUAACAAACUUAUUUGUUUAAUUUAAUAUAUUUUCAUGAUCAUUUUAACCAUACUCGAUUAAUGUUAUUCUUUAACUUUUUAAUUUUUAGUAUAAUAUAUAUAAUAUUUUGUUUCACAUGUAUUAUUUUGAUAUAAUUUAAAAAUAUUAAUAUUAAAUUAAUAUUUUAUAAAUUAUAAUUUAAAUAAACUAAAAGUUAAUCUAAUUUAAAUUGUAUUAAUUUAAGUUGGAUCAGAUUAAUUUUUUUUAAUUAGCAUUCAAAUUAAACAAAAUCACAAGUAUUUUAAUUAUGGAUUAAAAUGUUUUAUCUAAACAUCAGAUCUAAAUCGCAUUUCCUCACGAAUAUCACAAUUUUUCAUCUAAGAACACACACCUAAAUCGCACCACAAACAUUUAUAAUAUAUAUCCCGAAACAUUUGCUCACGAAUAUCACAAUUUUUUAGUUUAUAACUAAGAACACACACGUAUGUAUAUAUAUAUAUAUAUAUAUAUAUAUAUAUAUAUAUAUAUAUAUAGAUGUAUAUAUAAACAUCUAUCCUAUUCCAGCCUUUAGAGGAAGCACUAGAUAAAUAGUGUUAAAGUUGAACAUAAUUGAUGUGUAAAUUAAAUAUAGUGUAGUAGUUAUGGAUUUGGAUUUUUCGGUUCAACUUUAAUCUCUCUUGAUUUUUCUUAAUUUUUAUUUUUUUACAUAAUUUGUUUAAAUUUUAAUUAAAAGUUUAUAUCAUAUAAAUUAUAUAUAUAAAAUUUUAUCUAAAUUUAAAAUAAUUUAAUAUAUUAAAAUUAAUAUUUUAUACACAUUUAUUAAAAACCUUUAAUUUUAUAAUUUAAAAAAAUAAAAGUAAAAAAUAAUAAUAAAAGAAACAAAGAAAGUUAAUAAGAUCGAUAAAAAUUUAAAUUAUCAGAAAAUCAAUAAUAUAAUAUUUAGAAGUUUCAUAAAUAUUACUUAAUUGAUAGUUAUAAAAACAUUAAUAUAUACAUACAUGAUACAUGAUAAAAUUGAGAUUUCUCUUAUCCACACUUAACAUAUGAGUAUAGUGACUAGGUUAUUUAAAAAAAAAAAAAAUGAAAUCGAUGAAUGGGAGAUGGAAACAUAAUGUUAGGCCAGCAUGAAAGAGAACACAAUGUACUAUUCCUUUACCUUGUGUUUAUUUAUAUAUUGUUAAAUUGAUGUACGUGAAUGUUUGUACUAGGAGGCAAUGGGUUGCACAGAGUAGUCACUGUCGUUCUGCAACUGUAAGCGACGUCAAAGGUGGUGAAUUGUUGAGUUUGUGUAAGUGAN